Molecule: long non-coding RNA, 1182 nt
Organism: Nothoprocta perdicaria
Lineage: Eukaryota; Metazoa; Chordata; Aves; Tinamiformes; Tinamidae
Exons: 4
Source: RefSeq, a predicted model, not a curated record
GAGCCAGAAAUUUUGAGAGGAGGAGGGAGAUUUCAGAGUGCUCUAGUAGGACUUGGUAGCUGUCUCUGAUCUAAAUUGUAUCUACUUCCAGAAGAAAAYCUUAAGUUUGAGUGGCAGCUGAAAGAAAGGUUUGUUUUCAAAGUUUCUUUUCUAAGAAAUGAGAGUUGAGACAGAGUGAAGCAAGAGAGUAAAGUGGCAGCGUGCACAGACUAAGAACUGUCAGAGGACACAUUUCCUAGUUGUACCUCCUCCAUAUUGCAGGUUUCUUGUGUGUGGGACUUAGGGACAGAAGCAUGAAGAGGAUCACAACUGCAGCCUGUCUGAGCAGCCCAGAAGUAAAAAAUACAUAUUUUAUCUCUUAAGCAGCUAUCAGUUGAAGAGGGGAACAGAGUUCUUGUUCUAUAGCAGCUUUUCAGACUCUAAUUCUACUUCUGAAGCAUAAAUGGUAAAUGAAAUCCUUGUACAAGAGCCUUAAGCUGAACAUUUUAAAAUCUAUAUGUAAACUAAAACUUCAGAUACAAAUUGUGAAGAUGUUUUUUUACUUUCUUCCUUUAACUGAUUUGAAAUUUUUGCCUUUUCAGGUUAGGGAAGGGCUGUAUGCAGAUAGGAGCGAGUUGCUGUUUAAUUUACAAUUUUUAGUGUGAACUUAAAAUGGAGAGCCCCUACCCAGCUAUAUGUUUCCUGCUUACAGACAGGAUUAGCAGUAUCCCUUUUUGAAAGCCCCUGGUAAAGAGACUGUGCCCUUCUAAGGUUUUGGAGUCAGGGCGGCCAGGGAAGGAAAAAGAAUGGACAUUUGUCUGAGAAAGAGGUCUUUGGUGCAAAACUGUGCAAGCACUGAUUCAUAAUGCUACAUCAAGAUUUGGCAGCGUUAAUGCAUCUUCUGUCUAUUGUGAAACACAGGAAACAUAGCAGUGAAAGCAGGCACUCUGUGCAGGAUGUUGUAGUUAUAAGGUGUUGUAAGUCUACUUUUCCUCUGUGUCUUCCUGGUAUGUGUUCUCUCCCUUUUGUUAAGCAAGUGGAACUGAUAGGAUCUGACAGUGGCAUAUGUUUCAUGUGGCUGUUUUAGUUCAGCAGGUGCACUAGGCUGAAUUACACAUUGUGACCAGCUAAUGAGAUUCAAACAGCAGCGUUUGAAGUGUGCUUCUGAGUAAAAUGAUCAAUAAAUAUUUCUUAUUUAAAAAA